Molecule: ribosomal RNA, 581 nt
Filed under: uncultured bacterium
Lineage: Bacteria
Description: partial 16S ribosomal RNA
Rfam family: Bacterial small subunit ribosomal RNA
Source: RNAcentral
UGGGGAGUAUUGCACAAUGGGCGCAAGCCUGAUGCAGCCAUGCCGCGUGUGUGAAGAAGGCCUUCGGGUUGUAAAGCACUUUCAGCGAGGAGGAAGGUGGUGAACUUAAUACGUUCAUCAAUUGACGUUACUCGCAGAAGAAGCACCGGCUAACUCCGUGCCAGCAGCCGCGGUAAUACGGGGGGUGCAAGCGUUAAUCGGAAUUACUGGGCGUAAAGCGCACGCAGGCGGUUUGUUAAGUCAGAUGUGAAAUCCCCGGGCUCAACCUGGGAACUGCAUUUGAAACUGGCAAGCUAGAGUCUCGUAGAGGGGGGUAGAAUUCCAGGUGUAGCGGUGAAAUGCGUAGAGAUCUGGAGGAAUACCGGUGGCGAAGGCGGCCCCCUGGACGAAGACUGACGCUCAGGUGCGAAAGCGUGGGGAGCAAACAGGAUUAGAUACCCUGGUAGUCCACGCUGUAAACGAUGUCGAUUUUGGAGGUUGUGCCCUUGAGGCGUGGCUUCCGGAGCUAACGCGUUAAAUCGACCGCCUGGGGAGUACGGCCGCAAGGUUAAAACUCAAAUGAAUUGACGGGGUCAUAGCUG